Molecule: ribosomal RNA, 1425 nt
Filed under: uncultured bacterium
Lineage: Bacteria
Description: bacterial SSU rRNA
Rfam family: Bacterial small subunit ribosomal RNA
Source: RNAcentral
CCGGUGGGGGGGGCCUUACGCUGCGUGUCUGGGGCUGUAUCGACCGCGGAUCUUUGAGGGCGGGGCUGGGGUGCUUACCGGUCUUGUACCUGCCUUUUUCUGGCCGUGAACGCUGGGAGUGUCUGAUUUCUGCCCCCUAUGAGCGCUGCCUCCGGGAUUGUACUAGGUAGGCUUCGGUCGUAACAGAGGGUCCAGCGUCCUAUUAGCUUGUUGGUGAGGUAAUGGCUCACCAAGGCUACGAUAGGUAGGGGACCUGAGAGGGUGAACCCCCACACUGGUACUGAGACACGGACCAGACUCCUACGGGAGGCAGCAGUGAGGAAUAUUGGGCAAUGGAGGAAACUCUGACCCAGCCAUGCCGCGUGCAGGAAGACGGCCCUCUGGGUUGUAAACUGCUUUUAUAUGGGAAUAAACCCUUCCACGUGUGGAAGGCUGAAGGUACCAUAAGAAUAAGGAUCGGCUAACUCCGUGCCAGCAGCCGCGGUAAUACGGAGGAUCCAAGCGUUAUCCGGAUUUAUUGGGUUUAAAGGGUCCGUAGGCGGGUCUUUAAGUCAGUGGUGAAAGCCUGCAGCUUAACUGUAGAAUUGCCAUUGAUACUGAAGGCCUUGAGUGUAGUAGAAGUAGGCGGAAUAUGGCAUGUAGCGGUGAAAUGCAUAGAUAUGCCAUAGAACACCGAUUGCGAAGGCAGCUUACUAUGUUACAACUGACGCUGAGGGACGAAAGCGUGGGUAGCAAACAGGAUUAGAUACCCUGGUAGUCCACGCCGUAAACGAUGAUUACUCGCUGUUAGCGAUAUACAGUUAGCGGCCAAGCGAAAGCAUUAAGUAAUCCACCUGGGGAGUACGCCGGCAGCGGUGAAACUCAAAGGAAUUGACGGGGGCCCGCACAAGCGGUGGAGCAUGUGGUUUAAUUCGAUGAUACGCGAGGAACCUUACCAGGGUUUAAAUGGAAAUUGACAGACGCCGAAAGGUGUCCUUCUUCGGACAAUUUUCAAGGUGCUGCAUGGUUGUCGUCAGCUCGUGCCGUGAGGUGUUGGGUUAAGUCCCGCAACGAGCGCAACCCCUACUGUUAGUUGCCAGCGGAUAACGCCGGGGACUCUAGCAGAACUGCCAGCGCAAGCUGAGAGGAAGGUGGGGACGACGUCAAAUCAUCACGGCCCUUACAUCCUGGGCCACACACGUGCUACAAUGGUAGUGACAGAGGGCAGCCACUGGGUGACCAGGAGCGAUUCCCUUAAACCCUAUCUCAGUUCGGAUCGAAGUCUGCAACUCGACUUCGUGAAUCUGGAAUCGUCUAGUAAUCGCGCAUCAGCCAUGGCGCGGUGAAUACGUCUCCCGGGCCUUGUACACACCGCCCGUCAAGCCAUGGAAGCUGGGAGUGCCUAGAGUCGGUACCCGACUCGGGAUAACCGCGGGGCGCCAGCCC